This 481-nucleotide ribosomal RNA is filed under the name uncultured bacterium. RNAcentral's name for it is "bacterial SSU rRNA". It matches the Rfam family "Bacterial small subunit ribosomal RNA", at positions 29 to 507 of the family's 1533-position model. The record is from RNAcentral.
AUUGAACGCUGGCGGCAUGCUUUACACAUGCAAGUCGAACGGUAACAGGCCUUCGGGUGCUGACGAGUGGCGAACGGGUGAGUAAAGCAUCGGAACGUACCCAGAGGUGGGGGAUAACGCAGCGAAAGCUGUGCUAAUACCGCAUGUGAUCUGAGGAUGAAAGCGGGGGACCUUCGGGCCUCGCGCCUUUGGAGCGGCCGAUGUCGGAUUAGCUAGUUGGUGGGGUAAAGGCCUACCAAGGCGACGAUCCGUAGCUGGUCUGAGAGGACGACCAGCCACACUGGGACUGAGACACGGCCCAGACUCCUACGGGAGGCAGCAGUGGGGAAUUUUGGACAAUGGGCGCAAGCUGAUCCAGCAAUGCCGCGUGCGGGAAGAAGGCCUUCGGGUUGUAAACCGCUUUUGGCAGGAACGAAAAGCUCUGGGCGAAUACCCUGGGGUGAUGACGGUACCUGCAGAAUAAGCACCGGCUAACUACGUG